GGGUCAGGAGGUUGGUCGUGCCACCGGUACGUACUGGUCUCACUGAUUCCUCCUUCCUGAAGAACCGUAAUGCCAUUAAUUUGGUGGUGCGGGGAAACAGGACUGUUACUUUGAAAAAAUUAGAGUGUUUAAAGCAAGCUAACGCUUGAAUACAUUAGCAUGGAAUAAUGAAAUAGGACGAUCGAUCCUAUUUUGUUGGUUUCUAGGAUUGACGUA
This 216-nucleotide ribosomal RNA is filed under the name Glomeromycotina sp. Its description in RNAcentral is "partial small subunit ribosomal RNA". The stretch from base 40 to 216 matches the Rfam family "Eukaryotic small subunit ribosomal RNA", at positions 686 to 864 of the family's 1831-position model. Lineage: Eukaryota; Fungi; Glomeromycota. The record is from RNAcentral.